AUACGGAGGGUGCGAGCGUUAAUCGGAAUUACAGGGCGUAAAGCGUACGUAGGCGGUUGGUUAAGUUAGAUGUGAAAGCCCCGGGCUUAACCUGGGAACUGCAUUUAAAACUGGCGAACUAGAGUUGAGUAGAGGGGAGUGGAAUUUCAGGUGUAGCGGUGAAAUGCGUAGAGAUCUGAAGGAACACCAGUGGCGAAGGCGACUCCCUGGACUCGAACUGACGCUGAGGUACGAAAGCGUGGGUAGCAAACGGGAUUAGAAACCCCAGUAGUCC
This 274-nucleotide ribosomal RNA is filed under the name uncultured bacterium. Its description in RNAcentral is "partial 16S ribosomal RNA". It matches the Rfam family "Bacterial small subunit ribosomal RNA", at positions 523 to 796 of the family's 1533-position model. The record is from RNAcentral.